AAAGAAUCUGCAACAUUUUAGUGCCAGAACAGCCACAGCAUCCAAAGAAUAUAUAUGGAUACUAAAUAUAACAAUCAGGUGUCUAUUCAUAUCUUCAUUUCAGAUAUCAGGAUAUAUUUUAAUAAUAAGACCACAAAUUUUAAUGCAAUCAUCAUCAUUUAAUAUAAAAUUCUCGAGGUUGCAAAACUAAAUAGAUCAAAUUUAAUGAGUACAGAAGUUAGUGACACCCUACCCGCUUUUGCGUCUUCACUGGUAGCAGUCACUAUAUCAGCUUGAAUGGACUUUUCUUGCAAAGCAUUGCAUUUAAUGAAUGGGGAGGCAGAACCAUCAAGAGUAUCCUGCAGAAUAGAAUCAACUCAUUAAAUAUUAAAAUCGUUAAAAAGGUGGUUAACUUGGCAUUCCAACAACAAACUAAACUUAAUUUCCAAUAAAUUCGGAGUAGCCUGCAUGAUUUUUAAUGUUGUUUCCACUCUAAGAACCAAUGUCAUAAUAGCAACUCAACUAAAAUAUAAAAUAUGAAGAGCUAGUCAUAUCAGAAAAAUUCUGAUAGAAACGGAAAAUCAGGAAACCAAAAAAAAAAAAAAAAA
RNAcentral lists this long non-coding RNA (587 nucleotides) under Olea europaea (common olive). Its description in RNAcentral is "long non-coding RNA (OEUR_LNC012454)". The record is from RNAcentral. Lineage: Eukaryota; Viridiplantae; Streptophyta; Magnoliopsida; Lamiales; Oleaceae.